This 109-nucleotide ribosomal RNA is filed under the name Leucorrhinia patricia. Its description in RNAcentral is "5.8S ribosomal RNA". It matches the Rfam family "5.8S ribosomal RNA", at positions 10 to 120 of the family's 154-position model. From Rfam's summary of the family: 5.8S ribosomal RNA (5.8S rRNA) is a component of the large subunit of the eukaryotic ribosome. It is transcribed by RNA polymerase I as part of the 45S precursor that also contains 18S and 28S rRNA. Lineage: Eukaryota; Metazoa; Arthropoda; Insecta; Odonata; Libellulidae. The record is from RNAcentral.
CGGUGGAUCACUCGGCUCGUGGAUCGAUGAAGAACGCAGCAAACUGCGCGUCGAAGUGUGAACUGCAGGACACAAGAACAUCGACGUUUCUAACGCACAUUGCGGCCCA